AGGUUCCUUGAGGUUCUAUAUAGAACCGUGGGGUUCUAUACUUGGCCAAUAGAACCUUUUACCAAAAAACGGGUUCCAUAUAGAACCCUUGGAAGGCAAAGAACCAUUUUUAUUAAAAUGGUUCUAUAAUUCACGUUUUGUGACUGAAGUGUAAUCUAAAGAUUACACAAUAAUUGCAGACCUACACAACUCAUUUACAAACCUACACAACUCAUUCACAAACCUUUUUGUGUCAAUAGGUUGUGGUCAAAUAAAGAGAGAGUCAACAAAUAGGCUACUAAUAUUUAGUGUACACUGUAAAAAAUCCAACUAAUGAAAUGUUGGACGGGCAAAAAUAUAUAAGUUAAACCAAUUUUUUUGUUUGAGCUAGUUGAGAAGAUCUGUGUUUAAAAUAUUAAAUGAAUGGUUAUUUUCAAAUCCAGUCAAAAUUCAGAAUGGCUAGUGUUGACUGAACUAAUUAAGACAAAUCAGGUAAGUAUGUGGAGUUAUGACAGCUAUGUUUCCUGACAACAAAAUGCUCAUAAUAUUACUGUUAUUUGGUCACAAAAUGUAAUUGUAAGAGUUGUUCAGGCGUGAAUGUAUGUGCUUAAAGUUUAAAAAUGCGGUCGGUUAAUAAAGAUAGGGUCUAUUUAAAAAUGUGCUUGGACACUUUCGGACGUAGAUGAGCUCCAUAUGAGCUCCAGAAAAUCACAGACACUUAAGCGCUCACACCCCGCCCAGCGCAGCCUCUCCUCGGCAAGCCCGACUGCUGGCUCUGAUAUCUCUGUGGCGUUUAAACAUAUGAUUUAAUUCAUUUUGAUUUCUCAUACUUAACAAUGAAAGGGUUAUGUUUUAAAUCAUAUUUUAGGAUUGCACUUAAUUGAUAUUGCUGUUGAGUGAUGUUUCAUAUCUUUUACAUUUGUUAUAACCGGACUGCAUGCGAAUUUGAACUUCAGAUCUGAAGGAGCGAGUGGAGAAAUAGUCCCAAUAUCAUAACAAUCUUAAAUAAAACUUCUAAAUAUACCCGUGUGUGUACCCGUGUGCGCGCGCGCGUGCGCGCGACCCGUUUGUUCGCGCGUGUGUAUGUACAGUAUGUGCGUGAGUUUUUAAUUUAAAAUGUCUUAACUUAACUCGGAAGGAUCUGAAUCACAGGUCAUUUCAUCUGAGAUCAUUCCGCAUGUAACAGCCGGAAUCACUCACUGUUUCCCACAACGACACGAGUCAUCAGCCGUUUCCUCAAGGUCACGUCAGAUAACCAUGGUUAAUAAAUGGUCAGACACGUCACUGGCUUUAAAAUAUAAACCCCAUUGAUGCAAAAAGAUGCUGCAUGGAAUGACAAUGUGGUUUGGAACAGACUUGGUGAAGAACAUGGAAACAUCUCUUAAUAAAAUGGCCCCAAACAUCAUCAGGAGUGCAAAAGAAGGAAGUAAAAAACAUCUCUACGCCAAUCUCAUUGGAGAGGAAACCACAGAAGGUCUGGUGAGGAAUGCUGCACUUCUGUUAUUGCAAGCAUUAUUUCAAGAAAAUCCCAGCUUCCUUUACUGUGUAAAUAGUGUAAGUAUAGUCUUCUGUAAUUUAGUUAGCAUUUGAGGCACUUUAUUUAAAGUAACAUUCAAUGCAAAUAUAAAACUAUUACUCUGUUUACCCUUAAAUAGCAUACAGCUCUACAUCAAUUAUUAUGAGUCUUGUUGGUUCGUGAGUGUCGCUUGCCUAGUUGUCAUACUUUAUUUGUGUUAUUAUGGGAUAAUUUUAAGUCUAUUUGAUGGCUUCUGUUAAUUGGUAAAAAGCACUUAAAAGGUGAAAUGUUUGUUUUACAGGAACCCGCCCCUGUCGCAGAUCACGCUCCUCCUAGUUCCACCUCGAGGAGGUCCCAAAGCACCCCAAUGACCAGACAAACCAGAGGGGGAGUAUUACGGGGCCAGGGACGUUGGAGGGGUUUCCACGUGACUCCAGCUGGAACACCGCUACAGAGCGUAUCUGGGUGGGUUGGGCACACACCGUCGCGGCGGCCCCUGAUGGCAUCCACAAGGGUCCAAGACCCUCCUAAGGUGAGUACGGACGACAAGGACACAGCACAACACUUCAAUAAAGCUUUGUGUAUUUCCGUUUCAAGAGGUUCUUA
Molecule: non-coding RNA, 2101 nt
Organism: Misgurnus anguillicaudatus (oriental weatherfish)
Lineage: Eukaryota; Metazoa; Chordata; Actinopteri; Cypriniformes; Cobitidae
Source: RefSeq, a predicted model, not a curated record